This 2901-nucleotide ribosomal RNA is filed under the name Escherichia coli LT-68. Its description in RNAcentral is "bacterial LSU rRNA". It matches the Rfam family "Bacterial large subunit ribosomal RNA". The record is from RNAcentral. Lineage: Bacteria; Pseudomonadati; Pseudomonadota; Gammaproteobacteria; Enterobacterales; Enterobacteriaceae.
UUAAGCGACUAAGCGUACACGGUGGAUGCCCUGGCAGUCAGAGGCGAUGAAGGACGUGCUAAUCUGCGAUAAGCGUCGGUAAGGUGAUAUGAACCGUUAUAACCGGCGAUUUCCGAAUGGGGAAACCCAGUGUGUUUCGACACACUAUCAUUAACUGAAUCCAUAGGUUAAUGAGGCGAACCGGGGGAACUGAAACAUCUAAGUACCCCGAGGAAAAGAAAUCAACCGAGAUUCCCCCAGUAGCGGCGAGCGAACGGGGAGGAGCCCAGAGCCUGAAUCAGUGUGUGUGUUAGUGGAAGCGUCUGGAAAGGCGCGCGAUACAGGGUGACAGCCCCGUACACAAAAAUGCACAUAUUGUGAGCUCGAUGAGUAGGGCGGGACACGUGGUAUCCUGUCUGAAUAUGGGGGGACCAUCCUCCAAGGCUAAAUACUCCUGACUGACCGAUAGUGAACCAGUACCGUGAGGGAAAGGCGAAAAGAACCCCGGCGAGGGGAGUGAAAAAGAACCUGAAACCGUGUACGUACAAGCAGUGGGAGCACGCUUAGGCGUGUGACUGCGUACCUUUUGUAUAAUGGGUCAGCGACUUAUAUUCUGUAGCAAGGUUAACCGAAUAGGGGAGCCGAAGGGAAACCGAGUCUUAACUGGGCGUUAAGUUGCAGGGUAUAGACCCGAAACCCGGUGAUCUAGCCAUGGGCAGGUUGAAGGUUGGGUAACACUAACUGGAGGACCGAACCGACUAAUGUUGAAAAAUUAGCGGAUGACUUGUGGCUGGGGGUGAAAGGCCAAUCAAACCGGGAGAUAGCUGGUUCUCCCCGAAAGCUAUUUAGGUAGCGCCUCGUGAAUUCAUCUCCGGGGGUAGAGCACUGUUUCGGCAAGGGGGUCAUCCCGACUUACCAACCCGAUGCAAACUGCGAAUACCGGAGAAUGUUAUCACGGGAGACACACGGCGGGUGCUAACGUCCGUCGUGAAGAGGGAAACAACCCAGACCGCCAGCUAAGGUCCCAAAGUCAUGGUUAAGUGGGAAACGAUGUGGGAAGGCCCAGACAGCCAGGAUGUUGGCUUAGAAGCAGCCAUCAUUUAAAGAAAGCGUAAUAGCUCACUGGUCGAGUCGGCCUGCGCGGAAGAUGUAACGAGGCUAAACCAUGCACCGAAGCUGCGGCAGCGACACUAUGUGUUGUUGGGUAGGGGAGCGUUCUGUAAGCCUGCGAAGGUGUGCUGUGAGGCAUGCUGGAGGUAUCAGAAGUGCGAAUGCUGACAUAAGUAACGAUAAAGCGGGUGAAAAGCCCGCUCGCCGGAAGACCAAGGGUUCCUGUCCAACGUUAAUCGGGGCAGGGUGAGUCGACCCCUAAGGCGAGGCCGAAAGGCGUAGUCGAUGGGAAACAGGUUAAUAUUCCUGUACUUGGUGUUACUGCGAAGGGGGGACGGAGAAGGCUAUGUUGGCCGGGCGACGGUUGUCCCGGUUUAAGCGUGUAGGCUGGUUUUCCAGGCAAAUCCGGAAAAUCAAGGCUGAGGCGUGAUGACGAGGCACUACGGUGCUGAAGCAACAAAUGCCCUGCUUCCAGGAAAAGCCUCUAAGCAUCAGGUAACAUCAAAUCGUACCCCAAACCGACACAGGUGGUCAGGUAGAGAAUACCAAGGCGCUUGAGAGAACUCGGGUGAAGGAACUAGGCAAAAUGGUGCCGUAACUUCGGGAGAAGGCACGCUGAUACGUAGGUGAAGUCCCUCGCGGAUGGAGCUGAAAUCAGUCGAAGAUACCAGCUGGCUGCAACUGUUUAUUAAAAACACAGCACUGUGCAAACACGAAAGUGGACGUAUACGGUGUGACGCCUGCCCGGUGCCGGAAGGUUAAUUGAUGGGGUUAGCGCAAGCGAAGCUCUUGAUCGAAGCCCCGGUAAACGGCGGCCGUAACUAUAACGGUCCUAAGGUAGCGAAAUUCCUUGUCGGGUAAGUUCCGACCUGCACGAAUGGCGUAAUGAUGGCCAGGCUGUCUCCACCCGAGACUCAGUGAAAUUGAACUCGCUGUGAAGAUGCAGUGUACCCGCGGCAAGACGGAAAGACCCCGUGAACCUUUACUAUAGCUUGACACUGAACAUUGAGCCUUGAUGUGUAGGAUAGGUGGGAGGCUUGGAAGUGUGGACGCCAGUCUGCAUGGAGCCGACCUUGAAAUACCACCCUUUAAUGUUUGAUGUUCUAACGUUGACCCGUGAUCCGGGUUGCGGACAGUGUCUGGUGGGUAGUUUGACUGGGGCGGUCUCCUCCUAAAGAGUAACGGAGGAGCACGAAGGUUGGCUAAUCCUGGUCGGACAUCAGGAGGUUAGUGCAAUGGCAUAAGCCAGCUUGACUGCGAGCGUGACGGCGCGAGCAGGUGCGAAAGCAGGUCAUAGUGAUCCGGUGGUUCUGAAUGGAAGGGCCAUCGCUCAACGGAUAAAAGGUACUCCGGGGAUAACAGGCUGAUACCGCCCAAGAGUUCAUAUCGACGGCGGUGUUUGGCACCUCGAUGUCGGCUCAUCACAUCCUGGGGCUGAAGUAGGUCCCAAGGGUAUGGCUGUUCGCCAUUUAAAGUGGUACGCGAGCUGGGUUUAGAACGUCGUGAGACAGUUCGGUCCCUAUCUGCCGUGGGCGCUGGAGAACUGAGGGGGGCUGCUCCUAGUACGAGAGGACCGGAGUGGACGCAUCACUGGUGUUCGGGUUGUCAUGCCAAUGGCACUGCCCGGUAGCUAAAUGCGGAAGAGAUAAGUGCUGAAAGCAUCUAAGCACGAAACUUGCCCCGAGAUGAGUUCUCCCUGACUCCUUGAGAGUCCUGAAGGAACGUUGAAGACGACGACGUUGAUAGGCCGGGUGUGUAAGCGCAGCGAUGCGUUGAGCUAACCGGUACUAAUGAACCGUGAGGCUUAACCUU